This 429-nucleotide ribosomal RNA is filed under the name Bacteroidota bacterium. RNAcentral describes it as "Bacteroidetes bacterium partial 16S ribosomal RNA". It matches the Rfam family "Bacterial small subunit ribosomal RNA", at positions 355 to 776 of the family's 1533-position model. The record is from RNAcentral. Lineage: Bacteria; Pseudomonadati; Bacteroidota.
UAGGGAAUCUUCGGCAAUGGGGGGAACCCUGACCGAGCAACGCCGCGUGAGUGAAGAAGGUUUUCGGAUCGUAAAGCUCUGUUGUUAAGGAAGAACGAGUGUGAGAAUGGAAAGUUCAUACUGUGACGGUACUUAACCAGAAAGGGACGGCUAACUACGUGCCAGCAGCCGCGGUAAUACGUAGGUCCCGAGCGUUGUCCGGAUUUAUUGGGCGUAAAGCGAGCGCAGGCGGUUAGAUAAGUCUGAAGUUAAAGGCAGUGGCUCAACCAUUGUAGGCUUUGGAAACUGUUUAACUUGAGUGCAGAAGGGGAGAGUGGAAGUCCAUGUGUAGCGGUGAAAUGCGUGGAUAUAUGGAGGAACGCCGGUGGCGAAAGCGGCUCUCUGGUCUGUAACUGACGCUGAGGCUCGAAAGCGUGGGGAGCGAACAGG